Molecule: ribosomal RNA, 471 nt
Filed under: uncultured organism
Description: bacterial SSU rRNA
Rfam family: Bacterial small subunit ribosomal RNA
Source: RNAcentral
GACUAACGCUGGCGGCGUGCUUAACACAUGCAAGUUGAACGGGGCACUGCGAGUAGCAAUACGAGCAGUGCUUAGUAGCGGACGGGUGAGUAACGCGUGAGCAACCUACCUUUGUGAGGGGGACAACAGCCGGAAACGGCUGCUAAUACCGCAUGAGGCCACGGCUCCGAUUGGAGCUGAGGUAAAAGAUUUAUCGCACAAAGAUGGACUCGCGUCCCAUUAGCUAGUUGGUGAGGUAACGGCCCACCAAGGCGACGAUGGGUAGCCGACCUGAGAGGGUGAUCGGCCACACUGGAACUGAGACACGGUCCAGACUCCUACGGGAGGCAGCAGUGGGGAAUAUUGGGCAAUGGGCGCAAGCCUGACCCAGCAACGCCGCGUGAGGGAAGAAGGUCUUCGGAUUGUAAACCUCUGUCCUAUGGGACGAAAAAAAUGACGGUACCAUAGGAGGAAGCUCCGGCUAACUACGUG